Molecule: unclassified non-coding RNA, 408 nt
Filed under: Hevea brasiliensis (rubber tree)
Lineage: Eukaryota; Viridiplantae; Streptophyta; Magnoliopsida; Malpighiales; Euphorbiaceae
Source: RNAcentral
GAAGAAAGAAGCAAAUCCUGCACAAUCUCGAAUUGCUUCCCAGAUGACAAGGCUGGACAUGUUGCCAGUAACCAGCCCAGGUAGCCAACUCGUUGGCUGUGGAGUAAAAUGCGAAUCUCCUUAUGAUGUGGCCUCCAGACAGGCUAGCAAAGCUCCUGAAGACGCUAAUCAAUGCAGAACAGCCCAGGGUACUCUAGUUUCUGACCCAGUUGGAUUACUAAAGGCAGAGGCAUCAAAUGCAUGUAACGCCAUGGGUUUGCCAUUUUAUGCAAAACCAUGCUCCCCUAAACAAGUUACUUCAGUACCAGAAGCUGAACACGUAACGAUAGAUGAGGAAGAAUACGAGAGUGACAAUGAUAUUCCAUCCUAUUCUGAGAUAGAAGCCAUGAUACUUGAUAUGGACUUGUG